This 72-nucleotide transfer RNA is filed under the name Bos taurus (domestic cattle). It matches the Rfam family "tRNA". Rfam says of the family: Transfer RNA (tRNA) molecules are approximately 80 nucleotides in length. Their secondary structure includes four short double-helical elements and three loops (D, anti-codon, and T loops). Further hydrogen bonds mediate the characteristic L-shaped molecular structure. tRNAs have two regions of fundamental functional importance: the anti-codon, which is responsible for specific mRNA codon recognition, and the 3' end, to which the tRNAs corresponding amino acid is attached (by aminoacyl-tRNA synthetases). tRNAs cope with the degeneracy of the genetic code in two manners: having more than one tRNA (with a specific anti-codon) for a particular amino acid; and 'wobble' base-pairing, i.e. permitting non-standard base-pairing at the 3rd anti-codon position. RNAcentral also lists the same sequence under 1 other name. Lineage: Eukaryota; Metazoa; Chordata; Mammalia; Artiodactyla; Bovidae. The record is from Rfam by way of RNAcentral.
UCCCUGGUGGCUCAGACAGUAAAGUGUCUGCCUUUAAAGCGGGAGACCCAGGUUCAGUCCCUGGGUUGGGAA